AGUCGUAGCGGAGGAAGACUAACAAGGAUUCCUCUAGUAACGGCGAGUGAACGGGGAUUAGCCCAGCACCGAAUCCUGCAGGCUGGCCCUGUUAGGAAAUGUGGUGUUAAGGUAGUUGCUUGUGUUACGUGGCCUGUCCGAAGUCUACUUGAGUGUAGCUAUCCAGAGAGGGUGUAAGACCCGUACGGAUGGGCCUAGUGACGCUUGUGACUACUAUGGAGUCGGGUUGCUUGAGAAUGCAGCCUAAAGUGGGUGGUAAACUCCAUCUAAGGCUAAAUAUAAACACGAGUCCGAUAGCGAACAAGUACCGUGAGGGAAAGUUGAAAAGAACUUUGAAGAGAGAGUUCAAUAGUACGUGAAACCACUCAGAGGUAAACGGGUAGAGCUGAAGGCAGCGUUUGGAAUUCAGCUUGGCGCUGGUGUUUUAGUUGUUGUGAGGAUCCCUAAAAAGGACUUUGCGGCAAAUUUGAAUACCAGUGUUGAGUGCACUUUCUGAGCGUUGAAACUGCGACCGAUGAUUAGGCUGGACUGUCAUUCGAAGAAGGUAGUGUUUGUCGCAAGACUCACAUGUUAUAGCUUCGGAUACGGUGGUCUCUGGCUGAACAUCGGGACCGGCGGCUUGUCAACAGUUGGUGGUGGCUUCGGCAUUUUGAUAUUGAAUUCACUUUUUAAAGUGAGUCUUUGUUGAGAUGCCGGCGUCUAUUGCUGCUGGAUGAGCCAAUAGUCAGCAGUGUGCAAGUAGGUCAUCUACCCGACCCGUCUUGAAACACGGACCAAGGAGUUCAGUAUAUGCGCGAGUCAAUGGGCGUUACGAAACCCUACGGCGAAAUGAAAGUAAAGGUGAGCCUUGUGCUUGCUUUCAUGAGAUCCGGAGACUACGGUCAAAGGCGCAUCAUGGGCCUGUGCUAACUUCCUUGCGAAGAGUGCAGAGCUUGAGCGUAUAUACUGAGACCCGAAAGAUGGUGACCUAUACUUGUCCAGGUUGAAGCCAGAGGAAACUCUGGUGGAGGACCGAAGCAGUUCUGACGUGCAAAUCGAUUGUCAGAGAUGAGUAUAGGGGCGAAAGACUAAUCGAACCAUCUAGUAGCUGGUUCCCUCCGAAGUUUCCCUCAGGAUAGCUGGUGCUCGAUUUUGUGUUGUUUGACACGGUAAAGCGAAUGAUUAGAGGUACUGGGGACGAAAUGUCCUCAACCUAUUCUCAAACUUUAAAUGUGUCAGAAGGCGCUGUCACUUAAUUGGACAGCGGCGUCGAAAAAGAGUACCUAGUGGGCCAUUUUUGGUAAGCAGAACUGGCGCUGUGGGAUGAACCAAACGUCUGGUUAAGGUGCCAAACGCGGUCGCUCAUCAGAUACCAAAAAAGGUGUUGGUUGAUAUAGACAGCAGGACGGUGGCCCUGGAAGUCGGAAUCCGCUAAGGAGUGUGUAACAACUCACCUGCCGAAUCAACCAGCCCUGAAAAUGGAUGGCGCUUUAGCGAUGGACCUAUACCGGACCGACAUGAAAUGACUGUCAUGGUAGUUCAUGUCGAGUAGGAGGGUCGCCGUAGUAGCGUAGAAGCUUAUGCCGUGAGGCAGAGUGGAGCUGCUACGGGUGCAGAUCUUGGUGAUAGUAGCAAAUAUCAAGAAAAUCCC
RNAcentral lists this ribosomal RNA (1630 nucleotides) under Plagiostomum sp. n. MW-2019. Its description in RNAcentral is "partial 28S ribosomal RNA". It matches the Rfam family "Eukaryotic large subunit ribosomal RNA", at positions 45 to 1483 of the family's 3401-position model. The record is from RNAcentral. Lineage: Eukaryota; Metazoa; Platyhelminthes; Prolecithophora; Plagiostomidae.